GUAGGUGGCAAGCGUUGUCCGGAAUUAUUGGGCGUAAAGCGCGCGCAGGCGGUCCUUUAAGUCUGAUGUGAAACGCCCACGGCUCAACCGUGGAGGGUCAUUGGAAACUGGGGGACUUGAGUACAGAAGAGGAAAGCGGAAUUCCAAGUGUAGCGGUGAAAUGCGUAGAGAUUUGGAGGAACACCAGUGGCGAAGGCGGCUUUCUGGUCUGUAACUGACGCUGAGGCGCGAAAGCGUGGGGUAGCAAACCAGGAUUAGAUACCCUGGUAGUCCACGCCGUAAACGAUGAGUGCUAAGUGUUAGGGGGUUUACCCGCCCCCCUUAGUGCUGCAGCUAACGCAUUAAGCACUCCGCCUGGGGAGUACGGCCGCAAGGCUG
Molecule: ribosomal RNA, 378 nt
Filed under: uncultured organism
Description: partial 16S ribosomal RNA
Rfam family: Bacterial small subunit ribosomal RNA
Source: RNAcentral